This 517-nucleotide ribosomal RNA is filed under the name uncultured Acremonium. Its description in RNAcentral is "eukaryotic LSU rRNA". It matches the Rfam family "Eukaryotic large subunit ribosomal RNA", at positions 88 to 607 of the family's 3401-position model. Lineage: Eukaryota; Fungi; Ascomycota. The record is from RNAcentral.
GGCGAGUGAAGAGGAAAGAGCUCAAAGUUGGAACCUGUCUGGCUUAGCUAGACCGGAUUGUAAACUGUAGAAACAUUUUCCUGACACGCUGGGCAAAAAAGUCUUUUGGAACAAGGCAUCAUAGAGGGUGGGAAUCCCGUCUUUGGCCCAAGUUAGUUGUCUAUUGUGAUAUGUUUUCAAAGAGUCAGGUUGUUUGGGAAUGCAGCCUAAAUUGGGUGGUAAAUCUCACCUAAAGCUAAAUACCGGCCAGAGACCGAUAGCGCACAAGUAGAGUGAUCGAAAGAUGAAAAGCACUUUGAAAAGAGGGUUAAAUAGUACGUGAAAUUGCUGAAAGGGAAGCGCUUAUGACCAGACUUGGGCUCGGUGAAUCAUCCGGCGUUCUCGCCGGUGCACUUUGCCGUCCCAGGCCAGCAUCAGUUCGCGCCGGGGGAUAAAGGUUUCGGGAACGUAGCUCCCUCGGGAGUGUUAUAGCCCGUUGCGUAAUACCCUGGCGUGGACUGAGGUCCGCGCUCUGCAA